RNAcentral lists this long non-coding RNA (1002 nucleotides) under Homo sapiens (human). RNAcentral's name for it is "HSALNT0190133". Lineage: Eukaryota; Metazoa; Chordata; Mammalia; Primates; Hominidae. The record is from RNAcentral.
GCACCGCCCUUAAUCCAUUUAACUCUGAGUUGACACAGCACAUGUUUCAGAGAGCACGGGGUUGGGGGUAAGGUUAUAGAUUAACAGAAUCUCAAGGCAGAAGAAUUUUUCUUAGUACAUAACAAAAUGGAGUCUCCUAUGUCUACUUCUUUCUACACAGACACAGUAACAAUCUGAUCUCUCUUGCUUUUCCCCACAUUUCCCCCUUUUCUUUUCGACAAAACCACCAUCGUCAUCAUGGCCCGUUCUCGAUGGUCGCUGUCUCUUCGGAGCUGUUGGGUACACCUGCAGACCACCAUUGAUACAAUCAUCAAGGCUGCAAGCAGCAUACUCUCUGGGGUUUGUGUCACCUUUGUGUUCUCUAGAUAUUUUGUAGCUAACUGCGUCAGCUUCUUUAGUUGUGCCCAAGUCGGCGGCUCUGCCUUCUUGGUGGAUGGCAACUUCAUCUGUUCUGAUGUCACCAUUUUGUUCAUCUUGUGAGUCAACGGUGCUCGAUUGCGGUGUCUCCGUCUCCGCGGAGGUGCUUUUCUUUGCAUCUCCGAUGGGUGCAUUGUAGAACUUCAAAUGUCUAGUGGGUAUCCAAACAGGAAGCUGAUUUUCUCCUGGUGAAACACAAGCAAAACCUCUCCCCCACGUUAUCACCUUCCCUAUUUCCCAUGUCUUAUUUUUAUUAUCUUUCCACCAAAUUAGUUUUCCUUCAUGUGGGCUGUUCUUUUUACCAGUAAGAUGUUGUUCUGCAGAAGUAGUAGUCUGAUUUCCAUAAAUGUUUAAAAAAUUUAAAGUAUAGAGUGCUAGAUUAAGUUGCAUCUGAGGAGUGGUACACUCCUUACUGUCUCCCCCUUCUUUUUGUUUAACUAAUUGGGUUUUGAGUGUUCUAUUAGUUCUUUCAACUAUGGCCUGUCCUUGGGAAUUAUAAGGAAUUCCUGUUGUAUGUGAAAUUUUCCACUGACUUAAGAAUUUUUGGAAAGCUUUACUACAAUAUCCUGGUCCAUUGUCAGUUUU